GAGGAAUAUUGCGCAAUGGGCGAAAGCCUGACGCAGCAACGCCGCGUGGAGGACGAAGGCCUUCGGGUCGUAAACUCCUUUUCCGGGGAACGAGGAAGGACGGUACCCCGGGAAUAAGUCUCGGCUAACUACGUGCCAGCAGCCGCGGUAAAACGUAGGAGGCGAGCGUUAUCCGGAUUUACUGGGCGUAAAGCGCACGCAGGUGGCUUCGUAAGUCGGACAUGAAAGCUCCUGGCUUAACUGGGAGAGGUGGUUCGAUACUGCGGGGCUUGAGGUUGGGAGAGGGACGUGGAAUUCCCGGUGUAGUGGUGGAAUGCGUAGAUAUCGGGAGGAACACCAGUGGCGCAAGCGGCGUCCUGGCCCACACCUGACGCUGAGGUGCGAAAGCGUGGGGAGCAAAC
Molecule: ribosomal RNA, 401 nt
Filed under: uncultured bacterium
Lineage: Bacteria
Description: bacterial SSU rRNA
Rfam family: Bacterial small subunit ribosomal RNA
Source: RNAcentral